GAAAGUCAUGUUAAGGGAGGAGUGUAAAUCUCUCCCGAAAACCACCCUAGGUGUUUUGUUGUUGUUUUGUUUUUUAAAGGAAUCCAUCCACAAGGCAAUGAGUUAUGGGUGAAGAAGAGAUAAACGCAUGCGGGAGGGAUGCCUCCACUGUCCAUCCUGCCCUCAAGUUAUCCAAAGACCUUCAGACCAGAGGCCACGCUCCCUCACCUCAUACAGCAGCUGCCACUGGGCUGGGAAGAGGCACAAGGACUGUCCCCGAUGGAUGCUGUGGGAGCCUGUGAAAUUAGCAAGAUAUGAAGGUUUACAGAUGAAGUUCCAGAUUUGAAUGCAACUUAUGUUGUUGAUGGACUAGUCAGUGAUGCUACCAGCAAACUCUAUGCUGCCAUUUCCAGGUGAGAGACAAGUGAGAAAGUGCUGGUGCCUCUAGAUAAUCUGUGGAAUUCCAAAAAGAGGAUGAGAAGAAGUUCAAACAAAAUAGGGAUAGCUAAAGGAGGAGGAGGAGGAGGAGGAGGAGGAGGAGGAGAGGAAUGUAGGGAGGAAGAGAGGAGCAAAAAUUCUAGGGCAUUGGAGAACCUUGAUGGUGUGGGAGAUGGGAGGGGAGGUGGGGCUCAUUCCAAAGUGGAGAAGCCAGGAACCUGAGAAGGAGCCUCAGAAACACUAAAAUAUGACAGUGAUUAUUUUGUAAUUCUGCUGAAAUUUUGCAUCAGGAAGGAGGGCUGCCCUGCCCCUAGAACCCAGAGCUUGUAUUUUAUCCUUUGCUUCUAUUAUGGAGUACGUGGGUUAGCCUGAGAAGAUACCAGCAGGAAUAAUAGGAUUUCAUUGGGGAGAUGUGUUCUGUUAACUGAUUUCUGGGAUGCAGAGGACUUGUAACUGAGGCUCCCGGAGUCUGUAUCCAGGUGGGCCUUCCUUGGAACAUGAUGUUGGCAUAGGAAGGUAGUUUGCUCAAGACACAAAUUCAAACAUCCAAAAUUAUUCCCCUUAGUACGACUAUUGAGCAAGGAGAUUCCCAGAUACAUACCAAGGUUCGUCUUCAAGAUGUUUAUACACCCAUAUUCAUAGCACCAUUAUUCACAGUAGCUAAAAUAUGGAAGCAGCCCAGUGUCCACCGAUGGAUGGAAGGAUAAACAGAAUGUGAUAUAUACAUACAUAGAAUCUUAUUCAGCCUUAAAAAGAAAGGAAAUCCUGACACAGGCUACAACAUAAACGAUGCUUGAGGACAUUACUGCUAAGUGAAAUAAGCCAGGUACAAAAAGACAUAUAAUGUAUGAUUCCACUUACAUAAGGCACUUAGAGCAGUCGC
Molecule: long non-coding RNA, 1300 nt
Filed under: Vulpes vulpes (red fox)
Lineage: Eukaryota; Metazoa; Chordata; Mammalia; Carnivora; Canidae
Description: lncRNA (ENSVVUG00000005376.1)
Source: RNAcentral